GUCCAGACUCCUACGGGAGGCAGCAGUGGGGAAUAUUGCACGAUGGGGGAAACCCUGAUGCAGCGACGCCGCGUGAGUGAAGAAGUAUUUCGGUAUGUAAAGCUCUAUCAGCAGGGAAGAAAAUGACGGUACCUGACUAAGAAGCCCCGGCUAACUACGUGCCAGCAGCCGCGGUAAUACGUAGGGGGCAAGCGUUAUCCGGAUUUACUGGGUGUAAAGGGAGCGUAGACGGCAUGGCAAGUCAGAUGUGAAAGCCCGGGGCUCAACCCCGGGACUGCAUUUGAAACUGUCAGGCUGGAGUGCAGGAGAGGUAAGUGGAAUUCCUAGUGUAGCGGUGAAAUGCGUAGAUAUUAGGAGGAACACCAGUGGCGAAGGCGGCUUACUGGACUGUAACUGACGUUGAGGCUCGAAAGCGUGGGGAGCAAACAGGAUUAGAUACCCGGGUA
Molecule: ribosomal RNA, 446 nt
Filed under: uncultured bacterium
Lineage: Bacteria
Description: bacterial SSU rRNA
Rfam family: Bacterial small subunit ribosomal RNA
Source: RNAcentral